CAAAUUUAAACAGCUAAGAUACAACUUAGCCUAUUUUUUUCUCUUGUUAAUUAUCUUUUAAUAAGAAUUCAAGUUACUGCAUAUUUAGCAUCACUCAAAAUUUCUUCUUAUCUCUGCUUUUUUUGUUCUAAAGAUGUCAUAGGAAGAGUUUCUUUUUAUGGCUGGAGAAUAAAGACUGAAAACUCAUUUUCUCUUGACUUUUAAACUUCAUGGAUGAACUUUUUGAGUUAGCCAAGUUGUUCUGCUGAUUUUCUUUUCUUUUCUUUUUUUUUUUUUAACCUUGCUUCUGUUGAGCAGAAGGACAGCUGUUUUUGGCUGACGUUCUGUGCUGUGUAUUUUGUCAUAUGCCUCUUGCUGCGGCUCAAGCAUCAGAUGUGCAGGGCAAUAGGAAUGGAAGUUCAAAGCAUGACACGGACACUGAUAACAGUGUGUAUCAUUUGUGUGGUCUGAAGAAAUGAAAUUGAAUGGGGGAACAAAAUUAUGUCUGACAUUUACCUGGAUUUGCUCAAAAGGUACUUCAAAGCUGAAAGACUCAUUGUAGUAGGGGUUAAGUGUGUUCUUUUUAAUUGUUGUCUUUUUCUUCUUCAGCCUCUUGCCAUUCUGCAUCAGAUGAAUCUUCACAUAAGGAUCUGAAAAACAGACACAAAAACUUUAAAUGACCAGAGACACAGAUCGUAAUUUAACUUAUAAAAGGACCAUGUAUUUUCAACAGAUAAAUAAUUGUAUAGCAUGUAUUUGGUAUUUUUUUAAAAACUUCAAGCAAAUUUUUAUUGAAAGAUUUUUAAGUAACCUAUGGGGUAUGCUUUUUACCAUGCUGUAUGAAUAUUUACAGUUGAAUUUUGAAGAUGAGAGAAGUGGUGUGCUGGUAAACCAGCUCUUUGGAAAAAAUAGUCUUGACUUAGCAAUUUGCAGAUUUCUGUGGUAUAAGUAUGCUCACCAGAGCUGAUUUCAAGCCACAAAUGGCUUAACAACCAGCUUGUAAAGUCCCUGAAAAUUUAACAAUUGACUUUUUGAGUUGGCAGAGGGCUUGGCUGCUGCCCACGACUGAAUGGGAAUAGAACUUGACCAAGGAGAGGACAAAGAAGCCAUGCUAUUCGUUCAUUUUCCCACUUACCAACCAAUAUUAAUUGAGUGCCUAAAAAGCAUUAGGUAUUGUUGAGUCCCAGAGGUGCAGCAGUGUUCAGAAAAACCUUUCUCUAUCCUCAGGAUGGACUUCAGACUUGUUGGGGGAAUAAGAAGCUUGUAAAGAAACUAAAUACAUACGAAUUAGAAGUGGAAGAAAGGAGCAGAGAUCUGAUAGCAAAUAUGGAGAAUGAUACAAUGAGUGAUAAAUAGGAAUGAAGUUGUGAAACUGCUCAGGGAACCAGGAACAAUAUAACUGAGAAGGCAAAGGAUUAAAUACUUCUUAUUCCAGAAGAAAAACAAAGCCACCCCAACUUUGCCAUACCUUUCCCUCCUCCUCUGUAUUUCUCCGAUUUACAUAAGCAGUUUAUGAGGGUGUGAGGUGCCUUCUAAUCAGAUUACGUGCCGCUGCCCCAGAAUUGUGGAACACUUGGCUGUCGACUCACAUCAUGUCUCUUUUAUGCUACUUUGAACUGGAAAAAGAAUUUCAAUUCAAGACUGACUUGCCUCUAUUUCCCUCCCUUCCUGUUAGAAGACAGAAGUGUGUGAGGAAUGUGGAAUAGAAAAGUGGGAGGGAAUUUUCAGAAAGUGUUAUAUUCAUCUGUCCUUCAACUGCUAGGAACAGACCAAGGUGAGCAAGUGGGUUGAACAGUAACUGACUUAGAAAAGGUCACAGGAUUUCCAGGAGCAAAGAGAGGAGGGACCCAGGAGCUGGAAUGCAGUGGAAAGGGCAGCAAUUGCCAAGAUAUACUGCCCUCUUCAGGAUUUUUAAGAAAAAAACAUUUAGCAGUCUGACCACCGAGGUGGCAAGGUUGUGAGCAGUGGGCAGGCUCACACACUUCUGGUCUGAGUGUUAUUUGCUCAGGUCUAGAAAAGCUGACGAUGUGCAUACCCUCGGUCCAGCAAUCCCACUGGCAUGUAAAUGUCUUAGAGAUGCUCACCCACAUUUACAUAAGGAGACAGGGGUCGGAAUGUUCUUUGUUACUUUUUCUGUGACUGCAAGGAACUGGAAAUAGCUCAAAUGUCCAUAGACAGAUCAGACGGAUAUUUACCUGCCAUAGAAUGCGACAUAGCAAUAAGAAGUAACAAAGUUAUAUCAGCGCACAUGGGCACAGCUCCAGAAUAUAGUCUGGAGAAUAUAAUUUGGAAAAUAUAAUUUGCAGCAUAAUAUAAUGAAACCAUUUAGAUUAAGUCUGGAAACACACCAAAAAACCCCAUAGAGUAUAAUAUUAUUUAUACAGGCAAAAAAACGUGAAAAACAAAACAAAACAAAAUCCCUGAAUGUGUAUGUAAUAAAAACAGGCAUGGAAGUGACUGACAUGAUGUGAAAACAGGCCUGAGAAUUGCCAAUACCAAAUUCAAGUUAACAGUUACCUGUGAGGAGCAAAUGGGAGCGAGGAGAGAGGGUGAGGUAUGCAGGAUAUUUUGAGGAUAUAAGUUGUGUUGGAUUUCUUUAGCAUGGUGAGUAUUCAUUUAGUUCACUUUAUUAUUUAGACUUAUGGUAUGCAUGACCUAUUUCAUUAAAAACACUGAGGAUCUCUAAGUCAGAGUCAACUAAAAUUUAUUAGUGCCUAUCAUGUGGUUGGCACAGUGCCCUUCUGCAUUCUGCAGUGCAGCAGUCAUACUGGAGAAGUCUGUGCCUAGCAAUGUAACUGAAUCCCACUAUCUGGAAACUUCCACAUCAAACCUUCAGAUCCUUUUGCCAGUAUGAUUCCACCUGAGCUGUUGCCGAGCUGCUGUGAGCUCACCACUAUGACUGAUGGAUUUGUGGAGAAAGGAGCAGGUGGAGGAAGAAGGAAAGCAAGUUCAUGCAUGAACCUCAUGUAGACCAAAGCAUGAAGCAACAUGUAGAGACCAGAAGUUCUAGGAGGAUGGAAAGGAAACUCCCCUUUUGCAGGUGAUAGGAGAAGAGACCUCCGAUGUGCUGGGCAUUAUGCUUGAGUCUAUUCACACCUCAUCUCAUCUAACCACCCAAUAACCCCAUGAAAGAAAGCAAACUGGAAGAUGUGCCUUGGCAAGUCGGCUGUAAAGGUGAUUCAAGCCAUCCACGGCUCAGCAACAGACCUGUGGCACUCCAGGGUAGAUGGCUGGUUAAUUGUCUUGAAGGAGAGACCUAUUCACUCAUCCCUGUGAGUGUCUGUUUUAAUGUGUG
Marmota monax (woodchuck) is the source of this 3274-nucleotide long non-coding RNA. RefSeq lists it as uncharacterized. The transcript has 4 exons. NCBI's taxonomy places the organism in Eukaryota, Metazoa, Chordata, Mammalia, Rodentia, Sciuridae. The record is from RefSeq and is a predicted model, not a curated record.